GUCUGUGUAGGAUACUAA
Molecule: transfer RNA, 18 nt
Filed under: Myotis lucifugus carissima
Lineage: Eukaryota; Metazoa; Chordata; Mammalia; Chiroptera; Vespertilionidae
Description: partial tRNA-Thr
Source: RNAcentral